This 255-nucleotide ribosomal RNA is filed under the name uncultured bacterium. RNAcentral's name for it is "partial 16S ribosomal RNA". It matches the Rfam family "Bacterial small subunit ribosomal RNA", at positions 524 to 776 of the family's 1533-position model. The record is from RNAcentral.
UACGGAGGGUGCAAGCAUUAAUCGGAUUUACUGGGCGUAAAGGGCGCGUAGGCGGGCAAGCAAGUCUCAUGUGAAAUUCCGGAGCUCAACUCCGGAGCUGCAUGGGAAACUGCAUGUCUAUAGAGGGAUGGCGGAGAAAAUGGAAUUCCACGUGUAGCGGUGAAAUGCGUAGAUAUGUGGAAGAACACCAGUGGCGAAAGCGGUUUUCUAGCUAUUUCCUGACGCUGAGGCGCGAGAGCAUGGGGAGCAAACAGG